This 494-nucleotide ribosomal RNA is filed under the name uncultured bacterium. RNAcentral's name for it is "partial 16S ribosomal RNA". It matches the Rfam family "Bacterial small subunit ribosomal RNA", at positions 28 to 505 of the family's 1533-position model. The record is from RNAcentral.
GAUGAACGCUGGCGGCGUGCCUAAUACAUGCAAGUCGAGCGAACAGAUAAGGAGCUUGCUCCUUUGACGUUAGCGGCGGACGGGUGAGUAACACGUGGGUAACCUACCUAUAAGACUGGAAUAACUCCGGGAAACCGGGGCUAAUGCCGGAUAACAUUUAGAACCGCAUGGUUCUAAGUGGAAGAAUGUUUUGCUUACACCUAUAGGUUGGCCCGCGCCGUAUUAGGUAGUUGGUAAGGUAACGGCUUACCAAGGCAACGAUACGUAGCCGACCUGAGAGGGUGAUCGGCCACACUGGAACUGAGACACGGUCCAGACUCCUACGGGAGGCAGCAGUAGGGAAUCUUCCGCAAUGGGCGAAAGCCUGACGGAGCAACGCCGCGUGAGUGAUGAAGGUCUUCGGAUCGUAAAACUCUGUUAUUAGGGAAGAACAAAUGUGUAAGUAACUGUGCACGUCUUGACGGUACCUAAUCAGAAAGCCACGGCUAACUACG